UCCCUGGGGGCUCAGACGGUAAAGCGUCUGUCUGCAAUGCGGGAGACCCGGGUUCAAUUCCUGGGUCGGGAA
RNAcentral lists this transfer RNA (72 nucleotides) under Ovis aries (sheep). It matches the Rfam family "tRNA". From Rfam's summary of the family: Transfer RNA (tRNA) molecules are approximately 80 nucleotides in length. Their secondary structure includes four short double-helical elements and three loops (D, anti-codon, and T loops). Lineage: Eukaryota; Metazoa; Chordata; Mammalia; Artiodactyla; Bovidae. The record is from Rfam by way of RNAcentral.